RNAcentral lists this ribosomal RNA (230 nucleotides) under uncultured bacterium. Its description in RNAcentral is "partial 16S ribosomal RNA". It matches the Rfam family "Bacterial small subunit ribosomal RNA", at positions 14 to 235 of the family's 1533-position model. The record is from RNAcentral.
GUAUCCUGGCUCAGGAUGAACGCUAGCUACAGGCUUAACACAUGCAAGUCGAGGGGCAGCAUGGUCUUAGCUUGCUAAGGCCGAUGGCGACCGGCGCACGGGUGAGUAACACGUAUCCAACCUGCCGUCUACUCUUGGACAGCCUUCUGAAAGGAAGAUUAAUACAAGAUGGCAUCAUGAGUUCACAUGUUCACGUGAUUAAAGGUAUUCCGGUAGACGAUGGGGAUGCG